GGUUCGGGCGCGGUCCUUCGGGAGGGACCGCAUGAAUGGAACCUCCCCCCUGAUCGCAUUCGGCGUGCGCCUGAGCCCCGGCAGGCGGCGCG
This is a non-coding RNA of Rhodobacteraceae bacterium GWF1_65_7, 92 nucleotides long. The record is from Rfam. Lineage: Bacteria; Pseudomonadati; Pseudomonadota; Alphaproteobacteria; Rhodobacterales; Paracoccaceae.